RNAcentral lists this ribosomal RNA (2917 nucleotides) under Enterococcus pseudoavium. Its description in RNAcentral is "bacterial LSU rRNA". It matches the Rfam family "Bacterial large subunit ribosomal RNA". Lineage: Bacteria; Bacillati; Bacillota; Bacilli; Lactobacillales; Enterococcaceae. The record is from RNAcentral.
AGGUUAAGUGAAUAAGGGCGCACGGUGGAUGCCUUGGCACUAGGAGCCGAUGAAGGACGGGACUAACACCGAUAUGCUUCGGGGAGCUGUACGUAAGCUUUGAUCCGGAGAUUUCCGAAUGGGGAAACCCAGCAUCUUUUAUAGGAUGUUACUUUUCAGUGAAUACAUAGCUGAUUAGAGGUAGACGCAGAGAACUGAAACAUCUAAGUACCUGCAGGAAGAGAAAGAAAAUUCGAUUCCCUGAGUAGCGGCGAGCGAAACGGGAAAAGCCCAAACCAAGAGGCUUGCCUCUUGGGGUUGUAGGACUCCGAUAUGGUAGUCCAGUGAGAUAGUCGAAGGACCUGGAAAGGUCUGCUAGAAAGGGUAAUAGCCCCGUAGACAAAAUUUGACUGGCACCUAGGAGGAUCCUGAGUACGGCGGAACACGAGGAAUUCCGUCGGAAUCCGGGAGGACCAUCUCCCAAGGCUAAAUACUCCCUAGUGACCGAUAGUGAACCAGUACCGUGAGGGAAAGGUGAAAAGCACCCCGGAAGGGGAGUGAAAUAGAUCCUGAAACCGUGUGCCUACAACAAGUUAGAGCCCGUUAAUGGGUGAUAGCGUGCCUUUUGUAGAAUGAACCGGCGAGUUACGAUUACUUGCGAGGUUAAGUUGAAAAGACGGAGCCGUAGCGAAAGCGAGUCUGAAUAGGGCGAAUGAGUAAGUGGUCGUAGACCCGAAACCAUGUGAUCUACCCAUGUCCAGGUUGAAGGUGCGGUAAAACGCACUGGAGGACCGAACCCACGUACGUUGAAAAGUGCGGGGAUGAGGUGUGGGUAGCGGAGAAAUUCCAAACGAACUUGGAGAUAGCUGGUUCUCUCCGAAAUAGCUUUAGGGCUAGCCUCAGAGUAAGAAUGAUGGAGGUAGAGCACUGUUUGGACUAGGGGCCCAUCUCGGGUUACCGAAUUCAGAUAAACUCCGAAUGCCAUCCAUUCAUCUCUGGGAGUCAGACUGUGAGUGAUAAGAUCCAUAGUCGAAAGGGAAACAGCCCAGACCACCAGCUAAGGUCCCCAAAUAACUAUUAAGUGGAAAAGGAUGUGGGGUUGCACAGACAACUAGGAUGUUGGCUCAGAAGCAGCCACCAUUUAAAGAGUGCGUAAUAGCUCACUAGUCGAGUGACCCUGCGCCGAAAAUGUACCGGGGCUAAAUAGUUUACCGAAGCUGUGGAGCACACCAUAAGGUGUGUUGGUAGGAGAGCGUUCUAAGGGCGUUGAAGGUAGAUCGUGAGGACUGCUGGAGCGCUUAGAAGUGAGAAUGCCGGUAUGAGUAGCGAAAGACAGGUGAGAAUCCUGUCCACCGAAUGACUAAGGUUUCCUGGGGAAGGCUCGUCCGCCCAGGGUUAGUCGGGACCUAAGCCGAGGCCGAAAGGCGUAGGCGAUGGAUAACAGGUUGAUAUUCCUGUACCCGUUGUUUUUGUUUGAGCAAUGGAGGGACGCAGGAGGCUAAGGAAUCAGACGAUUGGAAAUGUCUGUCCAAGCAACAAGUCUUGAUGUGAGUCAAAUGCUUAUGUCUAUAAGGACAAGUUGUGAUGGGGAGGGAAAUAAUAGUACCGAAGUUCCCGAUGUCACACUGCCGAGAAAAGCUUCUAGUGAGAAAACAAUGGCCCGUACCGCAAACCGACACAGGUAGUCGAGGAGAGAAUCCUAAGGUGAGCGAGAGAACUCUCGUUAAGGAACUCGGCAAAAUGACCCCGUAACUUCGGGAGAAGGGGUGCUGAUCUAACGAUCAGCCGCAGUGAAUAGGCCCAAGCGACUGUUUAUCAAAAACACAGGUCUCUGCAAAAUCGAAAGAUGACGUAUAGGGGCUGACGCCUGCCCGGUGCUGGAAGGUUAAGAGGAGUGCUUAGCGUAAGCGAAGGUACGAAUUGAAGCCCCAGUAAACGGCGGCCGUAACUAUAACGGUCCUAAGGUAGCGAAAUUCCUUGUCGGGUAAGUUCCGACCCGCACGAAAGGCGUAACGAUUUGGGCACUGUCUCAACGAGAGACUCGGUGAAAUUUUAGUACCUGUGAAGAUGCAGGUUACCCGCGACAGGACGGAAAGACCCCAUGGAGCUUUACUGCAGUUUGAUAUUGAGUGUUUGUACCACAUGUACAGGAUAGGUAGGAGCCGUAGAAGUCGGGACGCUAGUUUCGACAGAGGCGCUGGUGGGAUACUACCCUUGUGUUAUGACCACUCUAACCCGCACCACUAAUCGUGGUGGGAGACAGUGUCAGAUGGGCAGUUUGACUGGGGCGGUCGCCUCCUAAAGAGUAACGGAGGCGCCCAAAGGUUCCCUCAGAAUGGUUGGAAAUCAUUCGCAGAGUGUAAAGGCACAAGGGAGCUUGACUGCGAGACCUACAAGUCGAGCAGGGACGAAAGUCGGGCUUAGUGAUCCGGUGGUUCCGCAUGGAAGGGCCAUCGCUCAACGGAUAAAAGCUACCCUGGGGAUAACAGGCUUAUCUCCCCCAAGAGUCCACAUCGACGGGGAGGUUUGGCACCUCGAUGUCGGCUCGUCGCAUCCUGGGGCUGUAGUCGGUCCCAAGGGUUGGGCUGUUCGCCCAUUAAAGCGGCACGCGAGCUGGGUUCAGAACGUCGUGAGACAGUUCGGUCCCUAUCCGUCGCGGGCGUUGGAAAUUUGAGAGGAUCUGUCCUUAGUACGAGAGGACCGGGAUGGACUUACCGCUGGUGUACCAGUUGUCUCGCCAGAGGCAUCGCUGGGUAGCUAUGUAGGGAAGGGAUAAACGCUGAAAGCAUCUAAGUGUGAAGCCCACCUCAAGAUGAGAUUUCCCAUUUCUUUAAGAAAGUAAGAUCCCUGAGAGAUGAUCAGGUAGAUAGGUCAGGAGUGGAAGUGCAGUGAUGUACGGAGCGGACUGAUACUAAUCGAUCGAGGACUUAACCAAAAA